GUCAAAUAAAGGAAGGCGGACGGCGGAAACCUAGGCACUCAGAGACGAUGAAGGGCGCAUUAACCGGCGAUACGCUUCGGGGAAUUGGAACUAAAUUUUGAUCCGAAGAUUCCCGAAUGGGGCAACCCCUAUGAACUCCUUUAUGAAUUCAUAAAAAGGAAGAGGCAACCCGGUGAAUUGAAACAUCUUAGUAACCGGAGGAAAAGAAAGCAAACGCGAUUUCCUGAGUAGCGGCGAGCGAAACGGAAUCAGCCUAAACUGAUUUUCAAUUUUUGGGAAUCAGGGUCGUGGGAAGACAAAUAGUUUAACUUUUAAACUAAACUAAAGACUAAUAAAACUAGUUUUUUAACGAAGCAGCUGAAUCCUGCACCAUAGAUGGUGAAAGUCCAGUAGUUAAAAUCUAAAAAUACUUGUCUUAUCCCGAGUAGCAUGGGGCACGUGAAAUCCCGUGUGAAUCAGCGAGGACCACCUCGUAAGGCUAAAUACUCCUGAGUGACCGAUAGCGAAAUAGUACCGCGAGGGAAAGGAGAAAAGAACCCCCGGAGGGGAGUGAAAUAGAACAUGAAACCGUCCGCUGACAAGCAGUGGGAGGACAAAGACUCUGACCGCGUGCCUGUUGAAGAAUGAGCCAGCGACUUAUAGGAAGUGGCUUGGUUAAGGAAAUUCAUCCGGAGCCAGAGCGAAAGCGAGUCUGAAUAGGGCGCCACUCCAAAAUACUUUAGUAUUUUGGAGCCGGUCACUUCUUAUGGACCCGAACCGGGAUGAUCUACGCCUGGCCAGAUUGAAGCGUGGGUAAAACUUCGUGGAGGAUCGAACGGACCGAUGUUGAAAAAUCGGCCGAUGAGCUUGGGGUAGCGGAGAAAUUCCAAUCGAAUUCCGAGCUAGCUGGAUCUCUCCGAAAUUUGUUGAGGCGAAGCGGUGACGACGGGCUGCCUUGGGGUAAAGCUACCGUUUCGGUGCGGGCUGCGAGAGCGGUACCAAGUCGUGACGAACUCAGAAUACAAGGUAUAGCUUUCCGUCAACCAGUGAGACUACGACGGAUAAGCGCCGUAGUCAAGAGGGAAACAGCCCAGAUCACCAGCUAAGGCCCCUAAAUGGACGCUAAGUGGUAAAGGAUGUGGGAAUGCGAAAACAACCAGGAAGUUCGCUUAGAAGCAGCUAACUUUAAAAGAGUGCGUAACAGCUCACUGGUAACAGCGUUCUUGCGCCGAGAAUGGCCGGGACUAAGCGUCCUGCCGAAGCUGUGGGAUCGAGAAAACUCGUAUCGGUAGGAGAGCGUUGUGCUUUCGGGUGAAGCUUUCACGUAAGUGGGGGUGGACGAAGCACAAGUGAGAAUGUUGGCUUGAGUAACGAAAACAUUGGUGAGAAUCCAAUGCCCCGAAAACCUAAGGAUUCCUUCACUAGGCUCGUCCAUGAAGGGUUAGUCAAGUCCUAAGGCAAGGCCGAACGGCGUAGUCGAUGGAAAUCAGGUUAAUAUUCCUGAACUUAUUUAAACAACAUAGAUCCCGAGGGACGGAGGAGGCUAAGCUAGGUUUGUCUAUGGAUUGCAAUGGAAGCGAUUAAGGCGUUGAGAGAUUGAAUAAAAACAAUUCUUGAGCUGAAACGUGAUCCCGUUUGAUUAAACUCUCGGGUUUGAUUGGACGCUAGUGAUGUCAUACUUCCAAGAAAAGCUCGUUCGAUUUUAGUUUAAAUAACUUGUACCUUAAACCGACACAGGUAGGUGGGUAGAGAAUACCAAGGGGCGCGAGAGAACUCUCUUUAAGGAACUCGGCAAACUGGCCCCGUAACUUCGGAAGAAGGGGUGCCCUCUUUGUUUUUUUGAAGCAAAGAGGGUCGCAGUGCCAAGACCCAAGCGACUGUUUACCAAAAACACAGGUCUCUGCAAAGUCGUAAGACGAUAUAUAGGGGCUGACGCUUGCCCAGUGCCGGAAGGUUAAAGAAGUUGGUUAUUCCUUAAGUGGAAGAAGCUGGCGACUGAAGCCCCGGUGAACGGCGGCCGUAACUAUGACGGUCCUAAGGUAGCGAAAUUCUUUGUCGAGUAAGUUUCGACCUGCACGAAAAGCGUAACGAUUUGGGUGCUGUCUCAAAGAGAGGCUCGGUGAAAUAGACUUGUCCGUGAAGAUGCGGACUACUUAUAUCAGGACAGAAAGACCCUAUGAAGCUUGACUGUAGUUUGGAAUAGGGUUCGGGCUUUUCUUGCGCAGUCUAGGUGGGAGGCAUUGAAGAUUUCUUUUCGGGGAAAUCAGAGCCAUCAGUGAGAGACCACUCUGGAAGAGCUAGAAUCCUAAUGGCGUUCCUUGAAUCAGGACGCUUGACAGUUUCAGAUGGGCAGUUUAUUUGGGGCGAAUUUCUCCUAAAAGGUAACGGAGAAGCGCAAUGGUCCCCUCAACCUGGACGGAAAUCAGGCAUUGAGUGCAAAGGCAUAAGGGGGCUUAACUGAAAGACUUACAAGUCAAACAGAGGCGAAAGCCGGCCUUAGUGAUCCGACGGUUCCGUGUGGAAGGGCCGUCGCUCAACGGAUAAAAGUUACUCUAGGGAUAACAGGCUGAUCUUCCCCAAGAGUUCACAUCGACGGGAAGGUUUGGCACCUCGAUGUCGGCUUUUCUUAUCCUGGGGCGGUAGUACGUCCCAAGGGUUGGGCUGUUCGCCCAUUAAAAAGGAACAUGAGCUGGGUUCAGAACGUCGUGAGACAGUUCGGUCCAUAUCCGAUAUGAGCGUUGGAGUAUUGAGAGGAGCUCCAUAUAGUACGAGAGGAUCUAUAGGGGACGCACCAAUGGUAUACCAGUUCUUGUUCCAACAGGAAACGCUGGGUAGCUACGUGCGGAGCGGAUAACUGCUGACAGCAUCUAAGUAGGAAGCCCACCUCAAGAUUAUUACUCCCUUUGAGGUCACGAAUAGAUAAUUCGUUAUAUAGGCGUCAGGUGUAAGGCCCGUGAAGGUUUUAGCUAAGACGUACUAACGACCGAUAGAUUUUGACUC
RNAcentral lists this ribosomal RNA (2979 nucleotides) under Draparnaldia mutabilis. RNAcentral's name for it is "23S ribosomal RNA". It matches the Rfam family "Bacterial large subunit ribosomal RNA". The record is from RNAcentral. Lineage: Eukaryota; Viridiplantae; Chlorophyta; Chlorophyceae; Chaetophorales; Chaetophoraceae.